AAUUAAGCCUGUAAUUGUUGAGGGUCCUGAGUUAUUUACACAAAUUGUGAUACAGAAUUACAAUUGAGAAAUUUUGUGCAAUCAUGUCAAAACCGCGUAAAACACCUAAAUGCCCGUAAUUUAACUAGACUAGCACUAAUACGCAAAUUUUAAAACUAAAUUAAAAACAAAAUUAUUGUUCUUCUUUUUCAAAACAACAUAUAUUUAAUCACGUAUUACCUAGCUAGGGGAAAAAGAUCAAUACCCAACUAUCUAGCUAACUACCUAACACACUAAAAUAAAAAAUAAUAAUAAUAAAAAAAAAACUACCUAAGAAAAUAAAAACUACCCAUGAAUUACGUAAUACUCCUACAUUCAUGUUUAAUUAGCUAACUAUCUAGGAAAAAACUACCCAUGAUAUAAUAACAAUUGCAACUUCUACUUCCCACUAAAAGAACAAUAAAAGGUAAGUAUGCAAAAUCAAAGUCAUAUCUAUGGUGUAAUAACUAACCCAUAAACUUAUAAACUCAUGUUUGACGCCAUCAUACCUCCUUCCUUCGUGAAUUGCUAUGGAGUAUUAGCCUAUUUUCAUCAACGAUUUAAUCCCCACUCCAUACUAACCUACAGUUUACCAUUGCCGAUCGUCAGUUGAGGAGAGUUAUUGGGACAAUAUUUAGAGCAAUUGACGAAGAACGAUCUAGGUUAUUUGACGAGAGAACCGUAGCAAGUAUGGAAAAUCAAAGGCCAAGUUCAUCCGAGUACCGAAGACUAAGACGACAGAGGAUGACUUCUGAACAAUGUGCCCAAGAGGCCAAUACUAGAAACGCUCAGAGGCGUUUGACCUAUAAUGCAAGAAGACAUGCCCGACAAAAUGGCAAUGCGACCGCGUUUUUAGACAUUACCAAUCAAGAUAACUCAACUGUUGUAGGCAUUACUACAAACUCUAUCCCCAUACAUACAUGUGAGUUCAUUGUCAUAAAUUUUAAAAAAGUAGCA
This is a long non-coding RNA of Spinacia oleracea (spinach), 975 nucleotides long. RefSeq lists it as uncharacterized. The record is from RefSeq and is a predicted model, not a curated record. The transcript is spliced from 3 exons. NCBI's taxonomy places the organism in Eukaryota, Viridiplantae, Streptophyta, Magnoliopsida, Caryophyllales, Amaranthaceae.